AAGAAGCAUCGCAACCUGGGCCUCAGCAUGCUGCUGCAGGUGGCUAACCCCAUUUAGCAUCUCCAGGCCCUGCCAUCGUGUCUCAUCUUGCUGUUAUCUCUAGCUCUUUCCCUCCUCCCAUUUCCUUUAGUAGUUGAAUUUUGCAAAGCUUGUAGCAGUAGCUCAGUUGCCUGCAGCAUCCUUGUGUGUAGAUAAAUUAGUCGACAGAAACUCAGCACUGGGGACAGGAUUGCAAAGUCGGGGACAUAGAUGCAGACAGUUGUUGAGAUUUGGGGAUAGCCGGGCUUGUGAGCGGUGCCCAUUUCCAGAUGAAGCCUUUCAGCCCUUCUGAGUCCCCGGCCCUUGGUGCGAUGUCUGUGAGUUUGACCUGCCCAGCGUGUGGGCUGGCUCAAUGCUGAAUAAAGUGGGUUUGUGUCA
Molecule: long non-coding RNA, 417 nt
Filed under: Homo sapiens (human)
Lineage: Eukaryota; Metazoa; Chordata; Mammalia; Primates; Hominidae
Description: HSALNT0023393
Source: RNAcentral